UCUUCAACUUUUAAUGCAAAUUUAUCUUAUGUUUUAGACUUAUCGCAAUAUCAAUUUAAUGAUCUGUUAGAGGAGCGACAAUUUUCAGGCCAAUUAGAUGAGAGAAUGCAUUCUGAAGGAAAUGGACGAUUUUAUUGUAAUGCUUGUAGAAAGACGUAUGUUAACAUUGGAAAGUUAAGAUAUCAUAAGCGCUGGGAAUGCGGUCAAAUCAUUCAAUGUCAUAUCUGCAACAAGGUGGUAACCACUCUGUACUCGUUGAAAAAUCACAUACAAAUUCAUUCUGGAUAUCAUCCGUACGGAAAGAAAAAGAAAAUGUUCGAUAAAAUGAAUGAAAAUAUGAAUUAAAUUGACGUUUCUAUGUGGCUUGU
Molecule: long non-coding RNA, 368 nt
Organism: Bradysia coprophila
Lineage: Eukaryota; Metazoa; Arthropoda; Insecta; Diptera; Sciaridae
Source: RefSeq, a predicted model, not a curated record